GAUGAACGCUGGCGGCGUGCCUAAUACAUGCAAGUCGAGCGAACGGACGAGAAGCUUGCUUCUCUGAUGUUAGCGGCGGACGGGUGAGUAACACGUGGAUAACCUACCUAUAAGACUGGGAUAACUUCGGGAAACCGUAGCUAAUACCGGAUAAUAUUUUGAACCGCAUGGUUCAAAAGUGAAAGACGGUCUUGCUGUCACUUAUAGAUGGAUCCGCGCUGCAUUAGCUAGUUGGUAAGGUAACGGCUUACCAAGGCAACGAUGCAUAGCCGACCUGAGAGGGUGAUCGGCCACACUGGAACUGAGACACGGUCCAGACUCCUACGGGAGGCAGCAGUAGGGAAUCUUCCGCAAAGGGCGAAAGCCUGACGGAGCAACGCCGCGUGAGUGAUGAAGGUCUUCGGAUCGUAAAAAUCUGUUAUUAGGGAAGAACAUAUGUGUAAGUAACUGUGCACAUCUUGACGGUACCUAAUCAGAAAGCCACGGCUAACUACGUG
This 497-nucleotide ribosomal RNA is filed under the name uncultured bacterium. RNAcentral describes it as "partial 16S ribosomal RNA". It matches the Rfam family "Bacterial small subunit ribosomal RNA", at positions 28 to 507 of the family's 1533-position model. The record is from RNAcentral.